Molecule: long non-coding RNA, 1173 nt
Filed under: Olea europaea subsp. europaea
Lineage: Eukaryota; Viridiplantae; Streptophyta; Magnoliopsida; Lamiales; Oleaceae
Source: RNAcentral
CCCUGAUCUAAUUUUUAAUGAUGGACGUUUCUCGAACGAAGCCAGCAAUUGCAUGAGCUCCAAAAUAAAUCAGCCACAAAAAAUUUACUUCUUGGGGCAAAUUCAUCAAAACAGAUGAUAGAUGCAACAUAGGCAGAAGGACACAAUUGAGAAACUACGAAUUCAGAUCCUUUGCCCAUGGGUAAGCAUUGCAUUGCAUCAAUAACUACCAUACAGAUACCAGAAAUCUGACCACUCUGAAUUCACAUCGUUUAGCUCAUUCUUAUCUUCUAAUAACUUGUACCAGUCAAGAAAAAGUCCAAUUAAACCAUCAGAGAUAUAAAUGCAGGUUAACACUAAAUUUUUAUAGCCCAGAUCUUCAAAUAAUUCUUGAACACAAUAAUAAUGAACUCAUAAAUGAUUACCUGCAGAUCCUUCGAUCACCAACGAACAAGCUAAGGCAAAGAUUUGAAGCACCAAUCCAAGAACUGGCAGCAUCUCCGCCCCCAUCCCACAUAAAACAACCAAUUAAUCUCUAAGAAAAACCUACCAACUCAAUCUCAAUAAUGAUAGAUAGAUUAAAGAAUCAGAACAUUGAAAGAAAAAAAAAUCCCCAAUGAAAAUAAUCCAAUCUCUUUACAGUGAAUAAAUUAUUCAAGAAAGAUAGGUAACUUAAAAGUUAUAACAAAAAAGGGGGAUUAGAUUAGAUUAAAGAAGCAGACCCACGAGCAGAAAGAGUAAGAGGCAAGCAAUAUUCAAGAAAGAUAGGCAUUUGUUUCUUGAAAAGCCUACAAAUGGGUUGGGUGAUGGUAUGAAAGAAAGCAAAGGCAAAAUAAACACAAUCAGUUUGUGGGUUGUGAUUAUGAUUAAAGAAUAAGGAAAUCAAACGAGUGUGGGAACUUUUGCAGCGAUAAAUUGGCAUGUUGUUUGGUUGCAGGAGGGAGUGAAUAAUACAUUCAACCACCGUUUGCAGUGACAUGUGAGCAAUUAAAGAUAAUCCCAACUAAGCUUUUUUCAAAGUAAAAACAACAAAACAAAUAAUCUCUUUAAUUGCUAAGCCAGUAAGAAGUAACUGGCGUCUUUUGUUUUCUUCCCAAUUCUCUCUCUCUCACGCGCACAGUGGGGAGAGAUACAGUGGAAAGAGAUAAGGGGGGAGAUGGCUCUGUGCUUGUUUACUGUAAUUUUUUUAUGGAG